Molecule: small nuclear RNA, 101 nt
Filed under: Meriones unguiculatus (Mongolian gerbil)
Lineage: Eukaryota; Metazoa; Chordata; Mammalia; Rodentia; Muridae
Source: RNAcentral
GCUUCAGCAGCACAUAAACUAAAAUUGGAAUGAUACAGAGAAGAUUAGCAUAGUCCCUGCGCAAGGAUGACACACAAAUUCGUGAAGCAUUCCAUAUUUUU